GAAAUGCGAUAAGUAGUGUGAAUUGCAGAAUUCAGUGAAUCAUCGAAUCUUUGAACGCACAUUGCGCCCCUCGGUAUCCCGUGGGGCAUGCCUGUUCGAGCGUCAUCUACACCCUCAAGCUCUGCUUGGUGUUGGGCGUCUGUCCCGCCUCCUUCGCGCGCGGACUCGCCCCAAAUCCAUUGGCGGCGGCCCUUGCCUGCCUCUCGCGCAGCACAUUGCGCUUCUCGAGGCGCGGCGGACCGCGUCCAGCAAGCAACCGUCACACCGUCUUUGACCUCGGAUCAGGUAGGGAUACCCGCUGAACUUAAGC
Molecule: unclassified non-coding RNA, 310 nt
Filed under: plant metagenome
Description: partial contains 5.8S ribosomal RNA, internal transcribed spacer 2, and large subunit ribosomal RNA
Rfam family: 5.8S ribosomal RNA (bases 1-105)
Source: RNAcentral